This 760-nucleotide ribosomal RNA is filed under the name Salmonella enterica subsp. enterica serovar Infantis. RNAcentral's name for it is "partial 23S ribosomal RNA". It matches the Rfam family "Bacterial large subunit ribosomal RNA", at positions 2043 to 2802 of the family's 2925-position model. Lineage: Bacteria; Pseudomonadati; Pseudomonadota; Gammaproteobacteria; Enterobacterales; Enterobacteriaceae. RNAcentral also lists the same sequence under 1 other name. The record is from RNAcentral.
UGAACUCGCUGUGAAGAUGCAGUGUACCCGCGGCAAGACGGAAAGACCCCGUGAACCUUUACUAUAGCUUGACACUGAACAUUGAGCCUUGAUGUGUAGGAUAGGUGGGAGGCUUUGAAGCGUGGACGCCAGUCUGCGUGGAGCCGACCUUGAAAUACCACCCUUUAAUGUUUGAUGUUCUAACGUGGAUCCGUAAUCCGGGUUGCGGACAGUGUCUGGUGGGUAGUUUGACUGGGGCGGUCUCCUCCUAAAGAGUAACGGAGGAGCACGAAGGUUGGCUAAUCCUGGUCGGACAUCAGGAGGUUAGUGCAAUGGCAUAAGCCAGCUUGACUGCGAGCGUGACGGCGCGAGCAGGUGCGAAAGCAGGUCAUAGUGAUCCGGUGGUUCUGAAUGGAAGGGCCAUCGCUCAACGGAUAAAAGGUACUCCGGGGAUAACAGGCUGAUACCGCCCAAGAGUUCAUAUCGACGGCGGUGUUUGGCACCUCGAUGUCGGCUCAUCACAUCCUGGGGCUGAAGUAGGUCCCAAGGGUAUGGCUGUUCGCCAUUUAAAGUGGUACGCGAGCUGGGUUUAGAACGUCGUGAGACAGUUCGGUCCCUAUCUGCCGUGGGCGCUGGAGAACUGAGGGGGGCUGCUCCUAGUACGAGAGGACCGGAGUGGACGCAUCACUGGUGUUCGGGUUGUCAUGCCAAUGGCACUGCCCGGUAGCUAAAUGCGGAAGAGAUAAGUGCUGAAAGCAUCUAAGCACGAAACUUGCCCCGA